RNAcentral lists this ribosomal RNA (253 nucleotides) under uncultured bacterium. Its description in RNAcentral is "partial 16S ribosomal RNA". It matches the Rfam family "Bacterial small subunit ribosomal RNA", at positions 524 to 776 of the family's 1533-position model. The record is from RNAcentral.
UACGGAGGGUGCAAGCGUUGUCCGGAUUUAUUGGGUUUAAAGGGUGCGUAGGCGGCCCGUUAAGUCAGUGGUGAAAGCCUCCAGCUUAACUGGAGAACUGCCAUUGAUACUGACGGGCUUGAGUACAGACGAGGUUGGCGGAAUUGAUUGUGUAGCGGUGAAAUGCAUAGAUACAAUCAAGAACUCCGAUUGCGUAGGCAGCUAACUAGGCUGUAACUGACGCUGAGGCACGAAAGCGUGGGGAGCGAACAGG